RNAcentral lists this ribosomal RNA (353 nucleotides) under uncultured bacterium. RNAcentral describes it as "bacterial SSU rRNA". It matches the Rfam family "Bacterial small subunit ribosomal RNA", at positions 335 to 678 of the family's 1533-position model. The record is from RNAcentral.
ACUCCUACGGGAGGCAGCAGUGGGGAAUAUUGCACAAUGGGCGCAAGCCUGAUGCAGCCAUGCCGCGUGUGUGAAGAAGGCCUCGGUUGUAAGCACUUUUCAGUCGUGAGGAAGGUAGUGUAGUUAAUAGCUGCAUUAUUUUGACGUUUUAGCGACAGAAGAAGCACCGGCUAACUCCGUGCCAGCAGCCGCGGUAAUACGGAGGGUGCGAGCGUUAAUCGGAAUUACUGGGCGUAAAGCGCAUGCAGGUGGUUUGUUAAGUCAGAUGUGAAAGCCCGGGGCGUCAACCUCGGAAUAGCAUUUGAAACUGGCAGACUAGAGUACUGUAGAGGGGGUAGAAGUUUCAGGUGUAG